AUGGCGAUGCCGUAUGCCUCUCUUUCCCCGGCAGGCGACCGCCGCUCCUCCCCGGCCGCCACCGCCUCCCUCCUCCCCUUCUGCCGCUCCUCCCCCUUCUCCGCCGGCGGCGGCAAUGGCGGCAUGGGGGAGGAGGCGCGGAUGGACGGGAGGUGGAUGGCGAGGCCGGUGCCCUUCACGGCGGCGCAGUACGAGGAGCUGGAGCACCAGGCGCUGAUAUACAAGUACCUGGUGGCCGGCGUGCCCGUCCCGCCGGAUCUCGUGCUCCCCAUCCGCCGCGGCAUCGAAUCCCUCGCCGCCCGCUUCUACCACAACCCCCUCGCCAUCGGGUACGGAUCGUACCUAGGCAAGAAGGUGGAUCCGGAGCCGGGCCGGUGCCGGCGCACGGACGGCAAGAAGUGGCGGUGCGCCAAGGAGGCCGCCUCCGAUUCCAAGUAUUGCGAGCGCCACAUGCACCGCGGCCGCAACCGUUCAAGAAAGCCUGUGGAAACGCAGCUCGUCCCGCACACCCAGCCGCCGGCCGCCUCCGCCGUGCCGCCCCUCGCCACCGGCUUCCACAGCCACUCCCUCUACCCCGCCAUCGGCGGCAGCACCAACGGUGGUGGAGGCGGGGGGAACAACGGCAUGUCCAUGCCCAGCACGUUCUCCUCCGCGCUGGGGCCGCCUCAGCAGCACAUGGGCAGCAAUGCCGCCUCUCCCUACGCGGCUCUCGGUGGCGCCGGAACAUGCAAAGAUUUCAGGUAUACCGCAUAUGGAAUAAGAUCUUUGGCAGACGAGCACAGUCAGCUCAUGACAGAAGCCAUGAAUACCUCCGUGGAGAACCCAUGGCGCCUGCCGCCGUCGUCUCAAACGACCUCAUUCCCGCUUUCAAGCUACGCUCCUCAGCUUGGAGCAACGAGUGACCUGGGUCAGAACAACAACCACAACAACAGCAGCAGCAACAGUGCCGUCAAGUCCGAGCGGCAGCAGCCGCUCUCCUUCCCGGGGUGCGGCGACUUUGGCGGCGGCGGCAUGGACUCCGCGAAGCAGGAGAACCAGACGCUGCGGCCGUUCUUCGACGAGUGGCCGAAGACGAGGGACUCGUGGUCGGACCUGACGGACGACAACUCCAGCCUCGCCUCCUUCUCGGCCACCCAGCUGUCGAUCUCGAUACCCAUGACGUCCUCCGACUUCUCCGCCGCCAGCUCCCAGUCGCCCAACGGUAUGCUGUUCGCCGGCGAGAUGUACUAG
This 1230-nucleotide ribosomal RNA is filed under the name Triticum aestivum (bread wheat). RNAcentral describes it as "partial small subunit ribosomal RNA". The record is from RNAcentral. Lineage: Eukaryota; Viridiplantae; Streptophyta; Magnoliopsida; Poales; Poaceae.